Molecule: non-coding RNA, 500 nt
Organism: Paralichthys olivaceus (Japanese flounder)
Lineage: Eukaryota; Metazoa; Chordata; Actinopteri; Pleuronectiformes; Paralichthyidae
Source: RefSeq, a predicted model, not a curated record
AGACAUGGAUGAGUGUUCCCAGUCAGAGCCGGUGUGUACGAAGGAGAACCAGAAGUGCUUCAACACUAAAGGCAGCUACGUGUGCAUCUGUGCGGUCGGCUACGAGGAGGAGGACGGCGAGUGUGUGCAAGCGCCACAGCCAGAAAAAGAAGAGGAGACAGAAGCCGAGGAGACGAACACAACUCCUCGUGCAGAACUUUGAUGUCUGGGACCAUUAGAGGCAAAUCAGUAUGAAGCUGAUCGUUCUUAAAAUCGUCGACGAUGUGCACUUAAAGUACCAGCUGCACUUAGAACCAACGGAAGCUGCUACAACAGUAUUUUCCAGCUGUGGACCAUGGAUUACGGGACAGAAAAAAGAGACAUUUGAUGCUCUUUGUACGCUGGUUGUUGUUGCUUUUCUCUGGUGUGCACAAACUACCACUUGUCUUUAUUUGUUGUAUGGUUUUAAAUUUGAAAGCGUUUCAAUAAAGGUGAAUACAUUUGAAUUUAGGAUAAACCCA